RNAcentral lists this ribosomal RNA (253 nucleotides) under uncultured bacterium. RNAcentral's name for it is "partial 16S ribosomal RNA". It matches the Rfam family "Bacterial small subunit ribosomal RNA", at positions 524 to 776 of the family's 1533-position model. The record is from RNAcentral.
UACGAAGGGUGCAAACGUUGCUCGGAAUUAUUGGGCGUAAGGCGCACGUAGGCGGCUCCAAAAGUCGGAUGUGAAAUCCCUCGGCUCAACCAAGGAAGUGCACCCGAAACUGCGGAGCUUGAGUAUGGAAGAGGGUCGCGGAAUUCCCGGUGUAGAGGUGAAAUUCGUAGAUAUCGGGAGGAACACCAGUGGCGAAGGCGGCGACCUGGGCCAAUACUGACGCUGAGGUGCGAAAGCGUGGGGAGCAAACAGG